CACUCCGGUGCCACGGGCGAUCUCCCCAAGGACCACGGGAGAGAAAGAACCCGCACCAAGCCCCACCCCUCCUCCCGCCCGCGCAGCUCACCCGCCCGGGUGAACAUCACCAACUCAGCUGGAUUUCGGCCCGGUUGCUUGCCCUACUCUCAGCGCAACGCAGCAACACAACCGCACACAUGCAACGGCCCCCGCCGGGACGGCAAUCCCGAUGCGAGGGCCUGACCACCAAGGAAGAGAACAGCUUCCCG
This 251-nucleotide non-coding RNA is filed under the name Streptomyces sp. WM6386. RNAcentral's name for it is "Streptomyces sRNA 4677". It matches the Rfam family "Streptomyces sRNA 4677". Rfam says of the family: Located in the intergenic region between anti-sigma factor SCO4677 gene and a putative regulatory protein gene SCO4676. scr4677 expression requires the SCO4677 activity and scr4677 sRNA itself seem to affect the levels of the SCO4676-associated transcripts. Lineage: Bacteria; Bacillati; Actinomycetota; Actinomycetes; Kitasatosporales; Streptomycetaceae. The record is from Rfam by way of RNAcentral.